RNAcentral lists this ribosomal RNA (555 nucleotides) under Trichoderma gamsii. Its description in RNAcentral is "eukaryotic LSU rRNA". The stretch from base 164 to 317 matches the Rfam family "5.8S ribosomal RNA". Lineage: Eukaryota; Fungi; Ascomycota; Sordariomycetes; Hypocreales; Hypocreaceae. The record is from RNAcentral.
CGCAUGUGACCGUACCAUACUGUUGCCUCGGCGGGGUCACGCCCCGGGUGCGUCGCAGCCCCGGAACCAGGCGCCCGCCGGAGGGACCAACCAAACUCUUUUCUGUAGUCCCCUCGCGGACGUUAUUUCUUACAGCUCUGAGCAAAAAUUCAAAAUGAAUCAAAACUUUCAACAACGGAUCUCUUGGUUCUGGCAUCGAUGAAGAACGCAGCGAAAUGCGAUAAGUAAUGUGAAUUGCAGAAUUCAGUGAAUCAUCGAAUCUUUGAACGCACAUUGCGCCCGCCAGUAUUCUGGCGGGCAUGCCUGUCCGAGCGUCAUUUCAACCCUCGAACCCCUCCGGGGGGUCGGCGUUGGGGAUCGGGAACCCCUAAGACGGGAUCCCGGCCCCGAAAUACAGUGGCGGUCUCGCCGCAGCCUCUCCUGCGCAGUAUUUUGCACAACUCGCACCGGGAGCGCGGCGCGUCCACGUCCGUAAAACACCCAACUUCUGAAAUGUUGACCUCGGAUCAGGUAGGAAUACCCGCUGAACUUAAGCAUAUCAAUAAGCGGAAGAAA